CCGAGGCAUCCAAAAUUUUUUUUUUUUUUUUCUCCGAUAUACCAAAGCAAGAACAAGAAGACCGAAGCAUCCAAAAUUUUUUUUUUUUUUUCUCCGAUAUACCAAAGCAAGAACAAGAAGACCGAAGUCUCAAAUUUUUUUUUUUUUUUUUUUUUUUUUUUUUUUGAUAUACCGAAGAAUGAACAAGAAGACCGAGGCAUCCAAAAAAUUUUUUUUUUUUUUUCUCCGAUAUACCAAAGCAAGAACAAGAAGACCGAGGCAUCAAAAUUUUUUUUUUUUUUUUUUUUUUUUUUUCGAUAAAUCCAACCGAGAACAAGAAGACCGAGGCAUCCAAAAUUUUUUUUUUUUUUUUUCUUUCCCAUAUACCAGAGAAAGAACAUGAAGACCGAGGCAACCAACAAAAAAUAAUUUUUUUUUUUCUCUUUCCCGGAAUUUUUUUUUUUUUUUU
Long non-coding RNA from Cornus florida, 448 nucleotides. RefSeq lists it as uncharacterized. The transcript is spliced from 2 exons. The record is from RefSeq and is a predicted model, not a curated record. NCBI's taxonomy places the organism in Eukaryota, Viridiplantae, Streptophyta, Magnoliopsida, Cornales, Cornaceae.